UAUCUUGAUCCCGGUAUGACGGGGUAUGGAAGCCGGUGAGAAUCCGGCACGGUUGCGCCACUGUGAAACCCCCGGGGUGAGUCAGAUCUUUCGCCGUCGUACAAAACCGAACACGUAGGGGCGCGUGACCCCAUAGGAGGUUUGA
Molecule: small RNA, 145 nt
Filed under: Mycolicibacterium llatzerense
Lineage: Bacteria; Bacillati; Actinomycetota; Actinomycetes; Mycobacteriales; Mycobacteriaceae
Source: RNAcentral